This 312-nucleotide unclassified non-coding RNA is filed under the name Athalia rosae (coleseed sawfly). Its description in RNAcentral is "misc RNA ENSAEAG00005002697.1". Lineage: Eukaryota; Metazoa; Arthropoda; Insecta; Hymenoptera; Athaliidae. The record is from RNAcentral.
GCUGGGCAAGGCUCAUGCCGAAUGUCUUAAAGUAAAAAGUGGAUUGUGCAACGAGUUUCUAAGUGUCUACUACUACUGAAUAGAUAAGAUUUCCCGCUAUAGUCAUUUGACUAUUAUCUAAGUAGGGUGCAAUGUAGAAAAAGCUUCAGACACAAGAAUGGGGCAUCGUGCUCUAGAACAAUUCAUGUCUAAGAGUCAAAGUUUUAUCAUUGAGGCCAUAGUAUCAACGAUGGGAACCACCUGAAAUGACGCGUUUCCAAACCACCUUAAAUGAGGCGUUGACUGAAGACAAUCAUCAGUCAACAAAUGAAG